This 232-nucleotide long non-coding RNA is filed under the name Homo sapiens (human). Its description in RNAcentral is "non-protein coding lnc-TYW1-7:7". Lineage: Eukaryota; Metazoa; Chordata; Mammalia; Primates; Hominidae. The record is from RNAcentral.
GGUCACAAGGGAGAUGUCCGCCCCCAGUCGUAGCCUCGGACGGUUUCUGAGCGUUGGUGUUUGGCACGCGCCACCCUCUCUUGCUUUGGUUCCGCCAUGCCGAUGUACCAGUCUUUGGUAGAUGAGUGGCUGGAUAGCUACAAGCAAGACCAGGAUGCAGGAUUUCUGGAGCUUGUUAACUUUUUCAUCUGAUCUUGUGGAUGUAAAGGCACUGUGAGCCCUGAGAUGUUCA